This 378-nucleotide ribosomal RNA is filed under the name uncultured bacterium. RNAcentral's name for it is "bacterial SSU rRNA". It matches the Rfam family "Bacterial small subunit ribosomal RNA", at positions 521 to 896 of the family's 1533-position model. The record is from RNAcentral.
UAAUACGUAGGGGGCGAGCGUUGUCCGGAAUCAUUGGGCGUAAAGAGCUCGUAGGCGGCUUGGUAAGUCGGGUGUGAAAACCUCAGGCUCAACCUGAGGCGUGCAUCUGAUACUGCCAUGGCUAGAGUCCGGUAGGGGAGUGUGGAAUUCCCGGUGUAGCGGUGAAAUGCGCAGAUAUCGGGAGGAACACCAGUGGCGAAGGCGGCACUCUGGGCCGGAACUGACGCUGAGGAGCGAAAGCGUGGGGAGCGAACAGGAUUAGAUACCCUGGUAGUCCACGCCGUAAACGUUGGGCACUAGGUGUGGGAUCUUUCAACGGAUUCCGUGCCGUAGCUAACGCAUUAAGUGCCCCGCCUGGGGAGUACGGCCGCAAGGCUA